This 261-nucleotide ribosomal RNA is filed under the name uncultured prokaryote. Its description in RNAcentral is "partial 16S ribosomal RNA". It matches the Rfam family "Bacterial small subunit ribosomal RNA", at positions 524 to 784 of the family's 1533-position model. The record is from RNAcentral.
UACGUAGGGUGCGAGCGUUGUCCGGAAUUAUUGGGCGUAAAGAGCUUGUAGGCGGUUUGUCGCGUCUGCUGUGAAAAUCCGGGGCUCAACCCCGGACUUGCAGUGGGUACGGGCAGACUAGAGUGUGGUAGGGGAGACUGGAAUUCCUGGUGUAGCGGUGAAAUGCGCAGAUAUCAGGAGGAACACCGAUGGCGAAGGCAGGUCUCUGGGCCACUACUGACGCUGAGAAGCGAAAGCAUGGGGAGCGAACAGGAUUAGAUA